UACGUAGGGGGCAAGCGUUGUCCGGAGUUACUGGGCGUAAAGGGCCCGCAGGCGGUCGUGUAAGUUUGUACUGACAAUCCCGUGCUUAACGCGGGAGGGUGUAUGGAAACUGCACGACUUGAGGAUGAGAGAGGGACAGGGAAUUCCCGGUGUAGCGGUGAAAUGCGUAGAGAUCGGGAAGAACAUCGGUGGCGAAAGCGCUCUACUGGACGGUGACUGACACUCAGGGACGAAAGCUAGGGGAGCGAAUGGG
Molecule: ribosomal RNA, 253 nt
Filed under: uncultured prokaryote
Description: partial 16S ribosomal RNA
Rfam family: Bacterial small subunit ribosomal RNA
Source: RNAcentral